This 269-nucleotide unclassified non-coding RNA is filed under the name Hevea brasiliensis (rubber tree). Lineage: Eukaryota; Viridiplantae; Streptophyta; Magnoliopsida; Malpighiales; Euphorbiaceae. The record is from RNAcentral.
GAAAGCUGUGGAGAUAGCCUUGUCGUGUGUGCUAAAUACUGCAAUUCGAAGGCCAAGUAUGAGUGAUGUAUUGAUUGAAAUAAAAGAAUGUUUGGCUAUAGUAACACCUUAUGUUGGAUCACAAAGGAUGGAUAGAGGAAGGAUAAGAUCAAUCAACUCACUUGAAAUGAGGUCUUUGGAAAUCGACAGUGAAAUUGCUCCGAGUCCUAGGUAGUCUGACUCUGCUGGUCCAUCAAUAUUUUCUUCUUCAUUUUAGUUUUUAGAGAUGG